UACGGAGGGUGCAAGCGUUAUUCGGAUUCACUGGGUUUAAAGGGUGCGUAGGUGGGUUGGUAAGUCAGUGGUGAAAUCUCCGAGCUUAACUUGGAAACUGCCAUUGAUACUAUCAGUCUUGAAUAUUGUGGAGGUCAGCGGAAUAUGUCAUGUAGCGGUGAAAUGCUUAGAUAUGACAUAGAACACCAAUUGCGAAGGCAGCUGGCUACACGAAUAUUGACACUGAGGCACGAAAGCGUGGGGAUCAAACAGG
RNAcentral lists this ribosomal RNA (253 nucleotides) under uncultured bacterium. Its description in RNAcentral is "partial 16S ribosomal RNA". It matches the Rfam family "Bacterial small subunit ribosomal RNA", at positions 524 to 776 of the family's 1533-position model. The record is from RNAcentral.